RNAcentral lists this non-coding RNA (23 nucleotides) under Arabidopsis thaliana (thale cress). Lineage: Eukaryota; Viridiplantae; Streptophyta; Magnoliopsida; Brassicales; Brassicaceae. The record is from RNAcentral.
CUACCAUGUAAUCACAAUCAUUA